CCUCCCUGUCUCAGGUACUCAUCUUCAAGCAGGCUGCCACGCGCCUAAUGCACCUGAUUGUCUCAUCGGCACAUUCCAAGCAACAAAGGAGACGAGCUGAGGCAAAUCCUGGGACACUGAUACACUUGUUCUAUCCCCACAGGUGUAAGAACCUUCUGUUUUGUAAGCUUCUGGGUGUAGACAUCCAGUAACUCCGUACAUUCUUUCCUAAGUUUGCACUGUCUUCUGUUUUUAAUGACACACUACACUUCAGUUCAGAUUUCUUGCGACCCUGUUGACUAUUUGCAACAAAACGUUUGAUGGUUCUGUGAUCACGCCCCAAAAUCUUAGCAAUUUCAAGAGUGCUGCAUCCCUCAGAAAGUCAGUUAAAUCUCUUUUUUGGUCCAUUUUGCCUAAGGAAAAGAAGCUGCCCAAUAAUUAUACGCAGGCGUGGAGCGGAGUGACGUCACAGACGUGAUGCUACGCUUUUUGGAGCAUGCGCAGUGGUGAAAUGGAGACACUGCCCCCCCCGUUUGUCAAUCUCAAAGUGGAGCACAUCACUUCUGGAAACUCUCCAUCUCCCAUCUUGCUCCAAAUCCUCUGUGCUGCUCUGGUAGUCUGUUCUUCUUUUUCUUUUUGAGCUUGGAUCUCUCUUGGUUGAAAUAUACAACACAUGGGAUUAAUUACACACAUCUGGAAUUAUUCAACCCAUUGUCCCUGAAGAAGCCUUCCACUCUACCAGUUGAAAUGCAUUGGAUUUCCUCUGUCCCUCUGACAGUGGAAUUGGGUUUUUCCAUUCAGUCCCAUAUUGUCCUAUUUCACCAUAUGUUUGCUUUUAUCAUUUACAAUGUAUUGUUCAACUUUAACAUUUAUGUAAUACAUUUUCUAUUUUUAUAAGAAUCACUUUUGUUGAUGGGGGAAUGGAGCAAUUUUCUUUCCUUCAGCCCAUGGUUGAAGAAAAGAAGAUUACAUAAUGUAUGGCCUGCCUUAGACACAAUGCUUUCACUUUUUUGACAGCUCUGCAUAAUAUGCUUCUGUUCUAUAAACCAAUAAAAUUAAUAAUAAUGACGGCCAGAGUUCUAAUACAUUUUUAAAAGAUGUCUUUGCCCAAUUCUGAAGGUGAAAUUAGCAUUGUAAGCAUAACAUUUCUUCCUCUGAAAGAAAUAUACUAUACAAUUUCUUAAAUGUUCAUGAGCAAUACUCAAAGGAAUAAAACUAUCACAAUCCUAAGCCAUUAUUAAACACUCAAUUCAUUAGAGAACAUGGAAAGUUUAUACAAAAUAUAAGUGACAUGUCAGAGAACCAGUUGUAUUAUUCUACCGUUAGCUAUGACAGAAUAAUAGUAGUAUUGGCACAAAUGUCACUGUGAUGGUUUUACCACUGAUAGUAUAGUAUUUAUAAUUGCGAUUAUAUAAAGUUUGUCUGAAGUUUAGGGUUACAAUUACAAGUUAGAUUAGGGGUUAGCUUGAGGAAUAUAUUAGUAUUAAAGUCCAUGACCUCUGAUUCCUCUUGUACCAAAUUGUAAAGUAACUGUAAUGUCUGCCUUCAUUUUGUUAAGCGCUGCGCAAACUGUUGGCGCUAUAUAAAUCCUGUAUUAUUAUUAUGUUUAUGCAAAAACCCUCAGUUCCCUGGACCCCGACUCCUAUUCAUUCACAGUUUUUUUUAAAACAACACUAACCCACUUGUUACUCUUUCUGUACUGCAGUCAUGGGACCCACCACAGAGCCCCUUCCCUUAUUGCAGACAAGUGAUUCACUGCUGAAGUUUUGGUACAGUGAGUAUUCUUGUUGCUCCCACUUUAAUCAUAACGCAGUCAUGUAAAAUCUUAAGGAGAACCUUUUUGAGGGACCCUGUAAGAAACCUUCUGAUCUUCAGAACAGUUUAGGCACCCAGACAAUAGAAAGCAUCCUCGUCAUCAGGGAAUGACAUGGCCACUCAAAGUAGGACCCCUCACCAAAAAAAGAAGACUCAGCCUGGUAAGCAUGUAGGCAAGUUGCCUACUGUGAGCUAGUUAGUCAGUUUUGGUUGUCCUAGCCAGGAGAAAGGGGUUAAUGUUUGUCCACCUCCCUGGGCUACGUUUGCAGGCUUUCUGGGGUCCAUGCUCCUAUCCUGUGUGUUUUAAAUGGGUCCAGAUCCCUGGAGGUGCUAGAGUUACAGAGGAAAAGGGGGAAGAAGACAAUAGAAAGCAUCCUCUUCAUCAGUGAAUGACAUGGCCACUCAAAGUAGGACCCCCACACCAAAAAAAGAAGAAGACUCAGCUGGGUAAGCGUGUAGGCAAGUUGCCUACUGUGAGCUAGUUAGUCAGUUUUGGUUACAAAUAAAAAAAUAAAAGGAAAUCCUGCAAGCCACCAUCUCCUAGAUCAGGGGUGCCCAACCUUUUGAAGAACGAGGGCCACUUAAAGUGGAGCUCCACCCUCUUUGACUACCUGGCUUCAUCCCCUGUAGUUCUGUCUCCUUAAAUAGAUUUGGCAUAUUAAAAAAAUUUUGGUAAAAAACUCACUGUUAAAUUAAUAAUCUAUUUGUUGUUCCGGCCGCAGCGACUCCAGCGGCCUCAGCAUGUCAUCUACUGACCGCUAUGCCUCCUGGGAGAUGUAUGUCCUCAAUCCCAGGAGGCCGUGGGCCGUAGCAUUGCGGAGAUGCCCGGCGCCAUUUUAAAUAAGGGAAAACUGGCAUGCUUUGCCAGUGUUUACCUAGCGUCCAAAGGAGUAACAUCCCCGGGGGAGGAUAAACUAUUUGAGAGCGGUAAGUGUCAUGGAUAAUCCCGGGGGUCAAAAGCAGCAGUGUGAUGGGCGCAGUGACAGCGGCAGUGUGAUGGGCGCAGUGACAGCGGCAGUGUGAUGGGCGCAGUGACAGCGGCAGUGUGAUGGGCGCAGUGACAGCGGCAGUGUGAUGGGCGCAGUGACAGCGGCAGUGUGAUGGGCGCAGUGACAGCGGCAGUGUGAUGGGCGCAGUGACAGCGGCAGUGUGAUGGGCGCAGUGACAGCGGCAGCGUGAUGAUGGCAAUGUGCGGUGGGACAUGUGCUGUGAUGGGGGACAAUGUGUGGUGGGACAUGUGCAGUGGGACAUGUAAUUUGAAUAUGUUACCUUCAUACCUGUUAUUAUAUUCUUAUCUUGCAAUAAAAUAAGAUUUAACUAAAAAAGUUUAACUCGGCAAGUCACGGAAGAGGAGGUAGUUGCUAUGUAACCGAGUUAAGGGACACACUACAAGCAACCAGUCAUUUGGCGCAGUACCUGAUUAGGUGGCAGGCCCUCCAAUAGCAAAAGGCGGUGAUAAGGACUGGUGUAGUGGGCGCAGGCUCAGCGCGUUUCCCCUAAUGCAAACAUACAAUUUACAGUGUGCAGUAACAUAGGACAAGUCGCUUUUCAGAGGAACUCUGCAUUUUAUUGCUGUACACAGUGAAAGCUCAUCUCUAGAUUCGGGAACUGUCGUUCUAUUAUUCCCAUAACCACAGUCUCUGUCUGGUCCCGAGCAAUGAUGAGCAUACUCCACACAAGUGUAACCCCAUGUGUACAGGCGUGUAUGACCCCGCCCACAAGUGACUGUGGAUUCAGGGAAGAAUUUGUGGCUUUUUUGUUUUAUGUAACAAUCAAUUAGAAAGGAUGGGGAUUGAGCUAAAGGGCAGUGGGAUGGGGGAUUUGUUAAGAUAUUAGAUUUAAUGAAUAGGAAAGGUAAUUGUUUUGGGCAUAGAUAAAACAGUAUUAUUAAAAACUCAUA
Molecule: long non-coding RNA, 3694 nt
Organism: Rana temporaria (common frog)
Lineage: Eukaryota; Metazoa; Chordata; Amphibia; Anura; Ranidae
Exons: 3
Source: RefSeq, a predicted model, not a curated record